RNAcentral lists this ribosomal RNA (250 nucleotides) under uncultured Clostridium sp. RNAcentral describes it as "partial 16S ribosomal RNA". It matches the Rfam family "Bacterial small subunit ribosomal RNA", at positions 524 to 773 of the family's 1533-position model. Lineage: Bacteria; Bacillati; Bacillota; Clostridia; Eubacteriales; Clostridiaceae. The record is from RNAcentral.
UACGUAGGGGGCAAGCGUUAUCCGGAUUUACUGGGUGUAAAGGGAGCGUAGACGGUUUUGCAAGUCUGAAGUGAAAGCCCGGGGCUUAACCCCGGGACUGCUUUGGAAACUGUAGGACUAGAGUGCAGGAGAGGUAAGUGGAAUUCCUAGUGUAGCGGUGAAAUGCGUAGAUAUUAGGAGGAACACCAGUGGCGAAGGCGGCUUACUGGACUGUAACUGACGUUGAGGCUCGAAAGCGUGGGGAGCAAAC